Molecule: ribosomal RNA, 1588 nt
Filed under: Childia brachyposthium
Lineage: Eukaryota; Metazoa; Xenacoelomorpha; Acoela; Childiidae
Description: eukaryotic LSU rRNA
Rfam family: Eukaryotic large subunit ribosomal RNA
Source: RNAcentral
UUAGGUCGGACCCGCUGAAUUUAAGCAUAUCAUUAAGGGGAGGAAAAGAAACCAACUGGCAUUCCCUUAGUAACGGCGAGUGAACAGGGAGAAGCCCAUCGGUGAAGAAUCGCAAGAUUCGGUGUCCGGUUCGGAUUGGUGCUUAGUUCAUGCACAUCAAUGCUAGAAAUCUGUUGGAAAACAGUUUCAUAGAGGGUGAAAAACCCGUAUUAGUGUUUUUGUCAUGGACAUCAUGGGCCCAAUCUAAUGAGUAGAGCUAUUUGAAAGUGUAGCUCGAAGUGGAGAUAUGUCUCUCCAAAGGCUAAAUAUAAUUGCAAGUCCGAUAGCGAACAAGUACCGUGAGGGAAAGUUGAAAAGCACUCUGAAGAGAGAGUGAAAAGUACGUGAAACUGUUGAAGGGGAAUUGAAGGGAACGUUACUGUGUUCAUUGCCGUCAAUUUAUUGAUGGCUUCCGAACUGUGGUGUUGCUUUUGAAAGCUAUUGAUAUAGACCACAGUNCACCAAUCGUUUUCGAACUUUUGGUUGAUGUGAGUCAAGAACUUGGAUUAGAUUAAUCCUUGAAUUGUGCAAGUAAAAUCAACAUCAUGAUCAGUGUUCUCUACAACCCGUCUUGAAACACGGACCAAGGAGUUUGAGUUGCUCGCAAGUGAUUGUGCUCUUUGAAAGCAUACACGCGGAAUGAAAGUAAAUAUUGCAUUGUUUCGACUUUGUAAUUACUAUGUGGUGAUAGCACUAGAACAGUGUCUGGCAGCCACGGGCGGUCUAACCACUUCGGUGUGUGAUCGACCUUUAGCGAGUAGCUCAAGACCCGAAAGAUGGUGAUCUAUGCUCGGGCAGGGCGAAGCCACGGGAAACCAUGGUGGAGGCCCGAAGCGGUUCUGACGUGCAAAUCGAUCGUCUGACCUGAGUAUAGGGGCGAAAGACUAAUCGAACCAUCUAGUAGCUGGUUUCCUCCGAAGUUUCCCUCAGGAUAGCGAAGGCUUAUGCAAAUCUGCGAAAGCAGUUUCAUUGGGUAAAGCGAAUGAUUAGAGGUCUGGGGGAAUUUAUUUCCUUCACCUAUUCUCAAACUUUAAAUCGGUGAGAUGUCCUUGUGACUUAAUUGCACUCGGACUUUGAAUGCAAGCCUUCAGUGGGCCGUUUUUGGUAAGCAGAACCGGCGAUGUGGGAUGAACCAAAUGUUGGGUUAAGGCGCCUAACUACUUGCUCAUGAGUAACCACAAAAGGUGUUGAUUGAUAUUGACAGCAGGACGGUGGCCAUGGAAGUUGGAAUCCGCUAAGGAGUGUGUAACAACUCACCUGCCGAAUCAAUCAGCCCUGAAAAUGGAUUGCACUAGAGCUCGUGGCCUAUACCCAGCCGUGAAUGUCAAUUUCUGUCAAGUUGCGGUCUUUUGACUGUGCAAGAUGGAAUAUGAUUGAUGCGUAAUCAAUAGAUUGCGUGGAUGAAGCAUUCAUGAGUAGGAGGACGCAGUAAUUGCGUUAAAGGAUACGCGUGAGCGUGUUCCCUAAGCGAUUACUGGCGCAGAUCUUGGUGGAAGUAGCAAGUACUCAAAUGAGAACUUUGAGGACUGAAGUGGAGAAGGGUUCCANC